Brassica napus (rape) is the source of this 755-nucleotide long non-coding RNA. RefSeq lists it as uncharacterized. Lineage: Eukaryota; Viridiplantae; Streptophyta; Magnoliopsida; Brassicales; Brassicaceae. The transcript is spliced from 2 exons. The record is from RefSeq and is a predicted model, not a curated record.
CCAAAUAUUCUCUCAAUUCUUUCAAAAACUAUCUCAUUUCUCUUCUUUCUCUCUAAAAUUUUCUCAAGCCUUUCUCACAAUGUUAUCUUGUCAUUUUAGAUAUUAUGAUUCAUGGUUUUCAUCUUCUUCUUUAAAAAAUGUAAGUUUUAGAUCUAUAGAUUUUAAAUGUGUAUUUUAUGUUAUUUAUUUCUAGCAAUAUUAUCUUUUUUUGUGGGUAUUGUCACUCAUGGAUUUCAUUUCUCCUCUAAAAAUGAGAGUGAGUGAGAAUAGUAUACCUUCGGAAGAGAUGAGCCUAUCGACAUGACCGAGCAAGAGACUAUCAGAAGGUGGUAGUAGUUUGAUUCUAGUAAAGCGGAGAGAGCCACCGUGAGGUACGUCAAGGAGAUGAGAAGAGCGACGUGGUGGCCAGGAUGAGACUUAAUCACCUCGCUAGCGGUUACUGUGCUGUAAACCCUCUCCAACUUGCCGUCUGGUCGUUGUGCCACCGUCGUGGCCGUCUCCACCGCCUGACAGUUCCCCAUUUCACGGCGGAGGAAAGUCAAGCGAGAAAGGAGUGAGAGUAAGCGUAGGUGAGGGGAGGGUUUAUAUAUAUAUAUGAUAAUAGUGAAGCCAUUGCUUAAUUGUUUAUGUUUCAAUGUUUUGGAUUGUCCGUAUGCAAGUGCUUGCAUUGCUGGAAUCUUUCACUCGGAAAGGUAAGAUCCUCGGUGACAUCAAGCCUUUGAAAAUAUGAAUCUAUUAACCAUUUUUUAUUAUUA